AAAGGAAUUGACGGGGGCCCGCACAAGCGGCGGAGCAUGUGGAUUAAUUCGAUGCAACGCGAAGAACCUUACCUGGGUUUGACAUGCACUGGACCGGCGUAGAGAUACGCCUUCCCUUGUGGCUGGUGCACAGGUGGUGCAUGGCUGUCGUCAGCUCGUGUCGUGAGAUGUUGGGUUAAGUCCCGCAACGAGCGCAACCCUUGUCCCAUGUUGCCAGCGGGUAAUGCCGGGGACUCGUGGGAGACUGCCGGGGUCAACUCGGAGGAAGGUGGGGACGACGUCAAGUCAUCAUGCCCCUUAUGCCCAGGGCUUCACACAUGCUACAAUGGCCAGUACAGAGGGUUGCGAGACCGUGAGGUGGAGCGAAUCCCUUAAAGCUGGUCUCAGUUCGGAUCGUAGUCUGCAACUCGACUACGUGAAGUCGGAGUCGCUAGUAAUCGCAGAUCAGCAACGCUGCGGUGAAUACGUUCCCGGGCCUUGUACACACCGCCCGU
Molecule: ribosomal RNA, 494 nt
Filed under: uncultured bacterium
Lineage: Bacteria
Description: bacterial SSU rRNA
Rfam family: Bacterial small subunit ribosomal RNA
Source: RNAcentral